Molecule: ribosomal RNA, 253 nt
Filed under: uncultured bacterium
Lineage: Bacteria
Description: partial 16S ribosomal RNA
Rfam family: Bacterial small subunit ribosomal RNA
Source: RNAcentral
GACAGAGGUUGCAAACGUUGUUCGGAAUUACUGGGCAUAAAGCGCACGUAGGCGGUCCGCUAAGUCAGGUGUGAAAUCCCCCGGCUCAACCGGGGAAUUGCGUCUGAUACUGGCGGGCUCGAGAUCGGUAGGGGUGAGCGGAACUCCAGGUGGAGCGGUGAAAUGCGUAGAUAUCUGGAGGAACACCGGUGGCGAAAGCGGCUCACUGGAUCGACACUGACGCUGAGGUGCGAAAGCUAUGGUAGCAAACGGG